AGUGGCGGACGGGUGAGUAACACGUGGGUAACCUGCCCUAAAGUGGGGGAUAACAUUUGGAAACAGAUGCUAAUACCGCAUAAAACCUAACACCGCAUGGUGUAGGGUUGAAAGAUGGUUUCGGCUAUCACUUUAGGAUGGACCCGCGGUGCAUUAGUUAGUUGGUGAGGUAAAGGCUCACCAAGACCGUGAUGCAUAGCCGACCUGAGAGGGUAAUCGGCCACACUGGGACUGAGACACGGCCCAGACUCCUACGGGAGGCAGCAGUAGGGAAUCUUCCACAAUGGACGAAAGUCUGAUGGAGCAACGCCGCGUGAGUGAAGAAGGUUUUCGGAUCGUAAAACUCUGUUGUUGGAGAAGAAUGUAUCUGAUAGUAACUGAUCAGGUAGUGACGGUAUCCA
Molecule: ribosomal RNA, 401 nt
Filed under: Latilactobacillus sakei
Lineage: Bacteria; Bacillati; Bacillota; Bacilli; Lactobacillales; Lactobacillaceae
Description: bacterial SSU rRNA
Rfam family: Bacterial small subunit ribosomal RNA
Source: RNAcentral